CGGUCCAGGAGGGAGGAGGCCCAGCACCCCGUCUCCUAGCAGCACGCCGGCGGCGCACAGCGUCCGGAGCGGAGAAAUGCCGGGCUGCUGGGCGGGGAUCCAGAGGUUCCCAGGGUCGUCUGGGCCGGGCCAUCCCCAGGGCAGCGGGGAAAGGACAGGGUCUGAGGCCUUGUGUUCACCGCUCUGAGCACCUGAGACGAGGCAUGAAAACAAGUCAGCCCUGAACCUGGAGAACCUGGUGCCUGCCCACCGGAGCAGAGCUCCUGUGACCCACCUCCCCUCCACCUGCUGAAACGUCACUGGCACCCAGCAGGUCCCCGGCCUGCCGGUGAAAAGUACCACCUGCUCCUUCCCGGGCACCUGACUGGACCAGUUUCCGGAGGAGUUUUGUCAACCCUCGGCCUAAAGCAGUUUAUGGCUUACGUGCAGCUCAGCAUGCUGGGCUCAGACCUGGAGCCCCAGGCCUACCUUCUUCUGACCCAGCCGGGGGACCAGGAGCCCAGGAGGCAGAGCCGAGCCCAGGCUCCACUGCCCUCCCGCGGUGAGGCUGGCUCCCGCGCCAGCUGCUGUACCAUCUCAAGACCUCGAUCCAGCUGCAUCACUGCAGUGCCAGGGCCAGCUCCAGAGAGGCCCAGCAAAAACAAGGCAAACGUCACUGGUAGAAAGACAACUGAACCUGGGAAAGCAUUCCUCGGAACCCAAAGCCAGAGGAAAGUCACCAAGGUCAUCUUCUAACCAGCUUGGCACUGGCAGGCACUGAGCUGUGCUCCUCAGGGUCUGGGUGGUCAGACAGGUAAGUACUUGCAGCCUGUAGCAGACUGAGCUACCUGGGCAUUUUCUGCCCCACUACCAGCCCAAGCUACUCUCAGAUUCCACUUUUACCCUGAAAUUCUCUUGCUGUUGAGAAUAUAUAUGGUGUCGUAUACGAGAAAUGAGUAGUCUAUAGGCUGACUUACCUCCAUAGACCACUCACAGCCUUGGACGCCUUCUGUUCUCUGGGAUCCAAAGACCAGCUCAGUUUUGCCAAGGAGCACUGCCAUGGGUGUGGAGGCGUGUGUGCCCACCACCAUCACUGUCCUCGAGGACUUCCCUCGUGUCUCCCUGGGGGUGGGUCACUGCCACCUGUGCCCACAGGCACCCCAGAGCACCACUCCUGCAUGGCUCUGACCACUGCAAAGCCAGCCGUCCAUUCAGCUACAAGGGCCCCAUCAAAGAGCCAGGACCAACAGCAACUCCAAGUCCACAGGACCCCAGGACCCCAAGUCCUGUGAACAUUACAGACGCAGCCCUCCCUCAGCAGAGAGUUCAGUGAGCACUCUGGCAGCUCCUUUGGCUCCGAAGUGAAGGGGAUCAACAUGAGCUUUGUCUUCGAGUCCUCCGAUGGCCAAGAAAAGAAGCUGAGCACCCGCCUCUUCUCCCUGACAGCACUUCUGCAGCCCCUCUCAGUGCUCCCCAAUCUGUACCCACAAAAGGAACCAGGAAGCCCCCAAAGCUGCACCCUGGCAUGUGACGCCCUGCAGAGUCCAGGGCUACUGCUGCCCUUGCCAUCCCCCACUGUUCUGGGAGUCGCCCUCCUCAAAGUCCCCCCAAAUCCACAGCAUUAGCUCAGCUUCCAGCAGCAUCUGCUUUUCAGUGUGGUUGCCUGUGACUGUCCCACGCAGCCAGCAGCCCUGUGUCUCGGGUCUGCGGGCACAGCUCCAGCAGGCAGGCGAUGCUGCUCCAUGCCCGUCAGCCUGGAGGAGGACAACAUGCACAAGAGCACCCUGGUCAUCUGAACGGGUGGGGCGUGGUCCCCGCGCUCAGACCUCUCUGGGCAUAGACCUCUCCUGAACAGGUGCCCUUCAAGCAGCACAGCCAGACCCAGGGGGGGCACGCCAGCGCUCCGCUGCACCUGAGGACACAGAGGCGGUCUCCUUAGCCCUGGGUGGCUCCUGGGGAUCCAUGCUCAUUAAGCUCGCUCCAGGUCUAAGAUGCUCUGGUCGGACCACCUGGAUUGUGUCUCCUGCCCACCCCCAACCUGCAGUGGCCCCUGACUCCUUGCUUGGCGCUCAGAGCCCUAUGUGUUCGUUUCCAGAGGACCUCCCCAGGGUGCACCAUCACCCUCCCUCCCUCCAGCCUCCCUAGAGCCUUCUUCACCCAUGGACCCCACCGCCCUUGCCUCCUCACAGCCCCAGCCUGCAGUGCCCCUCCCUAUACUCCCCCAUCCACAGUGGACUCACCUCCAAGCCUGGGCUCAGGGGCCACGUCUUGGGCUCCUGGGCACAGCAUGGCCUUUGGGGUCAGAUUGACCUGGGGCCAGUCACAGCCCCGUGACAGGCAAUCUUCGUGGUGACUUCUCAGAGUCUCAGUUUGGCUGGGCUUGGUCACUUAGAGCUGAGUGACCCUGAGCACCCAUGCCAUGGCUCAUCUAUAAAUUUGGGUGAGCUCACUGAGUGCCCAGGAGGGGCUCCCUAAUAACAGGAAUUACCCCCAACACUCACUCGGCCCUCCCUGUGGGGCCACCUCCUCUGGGGGCUCCCUCCAGCCGCUGCUACACCAGCCAGGGCCGCGGCCAGGGCCAGGCUGUACCCGGUGCGUGUCCCGGGGUCCUGCCAGAGAAGGCAGGGAGAGGCGGGUGUGGAGGAGGAGGGGCGGGGGUGGCCUGACCUUCUCCUGCCCAGGCCCGUGUCUACGCUACUUCUAGGCCCCCUGACCCAGCCGUGCACCGCGCUGGCCUCGGGGAGGAGUCUCGGGACCAGGACAGCAGGUUGUGUAUGGGGGGUAUUGUGUGACUUUCAUGUUCCUAGGUCUCCGGCCAGCCUGACUGGAGUAGGGUGGCCCGGGGGUCCCAGGGGUCAUGGGGUCGCAGAGCAGCAGACGUUGGGGCUGUGCGAUAACGGCCGGGCUGGGAGCCAUUGGUGCCCUGAGCUCACGCGCUCAGUGCACCAUCGGCUGAUGCUGAUGUUGGGUCUCGUGCCCGCGCUGCCCGGGGUCUGCAUGUGCGCCGGGAGGUGGACUUGGACGCUAGGCCAGCGGCCCCGCGCUGAGUCCGCAUGUGGGAGGGAGGCCCCUGCACCCCUGAGCGCAUCCUGCUCCACCCACCCGGGGGCCUGGGGGCCAGGAGCCCAGGCCGUGUCCACACCGAGUGGGGCUCCCACAGUUCCGUGUCCAUCCCCUCCUGGGACAAUCGGGGGAAUCUGAGAGCAGGAGAGUCAGGGACUGGCCCAGGGCCCGAGAGGUGGGCCCAGUCCAGAGGAGAAGGGAGGGUUCAGUACCCCGAGGCCAGGGUUUGCUUUGGGAAUGAGAGCCCCUAGGAUCCUGAGGGACCCCCUGCGCACCUCUCCCACGUGGGGCCCUUUCCUCUGUGCAUCCCCACUUGGGCACAGGUGUGGCGCAUGCGCGACCUCAUGUUUUCUCCCCAUCCAUCUACUAUGCUUGGUAUGCAGAGUACAUUUUUGUAGUACAGUAUAUGAGAAACUUAGCAGUGUUACCUGUGGAAUGGAGCAAUGAGGUAGAUGACAUAAUUUAAAACAUUCUGGAUGUUGUGAGAUUAUUUUUAUAAUACACAUAGCUUUUUUAAUUUUCAAAAAUAGUUUAUACAUUGAAGAAAUGUGAGAAAAGGCACUUUUAAUGUUUCUUUCAACAGGCAAAAAAUGUAGGGCUAAUUUUUUGUUUUAAAAGACGUCAUUUUAGAAGUAAUUAUUUUAUUGCUGAUUGUCUAUAGUUGCAGAGAAAAAUUCACAAAUUGUAAAUUAAGUAGAUUACUAUUUAGAAUGUGCUUCACCUGAGCUUGGGAAAUAUUUUGUGACUCUGUAGAGAUGGGUUUGUUUAUUUCGGAAAUAUAACUGAGGAAAAACAACUGUAUGAUAAAAAAUAGUUACCUUUUAAUUGAGAAUAGUUACGUAUUAGUUACCUAUUAGUAUUCCUUCUAAUACAGAACUUCAAUCUUGUUGAACGGUAUGAGGACUUCGUUUGGUUCUCCUGCCCUCUAGUGGUCAUUUAUCAAAAUGCAGAGAAGCUUGUAUUAGGUGAACCCCCUGAAAUUAUACAACCCAGGUGUGGGGAUCAGGUUGGGAAUUUUGGAGAUUAGAGGAACCUGAGAAAUUUUCUGACUUGAUUUCCUCAUCUUUGCAACAUAAACACCAUGUGUCGAUUACAUAUUCCCUUGAGAUUACUGAUAUAAAAUUCAAUUCUGGCAUCUCUUGACUAUUUGACUUAGUAAAUUAUCCAAAGCUACCGUUAUUUUCUGUAAUUUUUUUACAUAUAUGGUAUAAUCAUAGAUCUUAUCGCUAUUGCA
Molecule: long non-coding RNA, 4276 nt
Organism: Balaenoptera ricei (Rice's whale)
Lineage: Eukaryota; Metazoa; Chordata; Mammalia; Artiodactyla; Balaenopteridae
Exons: 5
Source: RefSeq, a predicted model, not a curated record